GUGACUGCGUACCUUUUGUAUAAUGGGUCAGCGACUUAUAUUCUGUAGCAAGGUUAACCGAAUAGGGGAGCCGGAGGGAAACCGAGUCUUAAUUGGGCGUUAAGUUGCAGGGUAUAGACCCGAAACCCGGUGAUCUAGCCAUGGGCAGGUUGAAGGUUGGGUAACACUAACUGGAGGACCGAACCGACUAAUGUUGAAAAAUUAGCGGAUGACCUGUGGCUGGGGGUGAAAGGCCAAUCAAACCGGGAGAUAGCUGGUUCUCCCCGAAAGCUAUUUAGGUAGCGCCUCGUGAAUUCAUCUCCGGGGGUAGAGCACUGUUUCGGCUAGGGGGCCAUCCCGGCUUACCAACCCGAUGCAAACUGCGAAUACCGGAGAAUGUUAUCACGGGAGACACACGGCGGGUGCUAACGUCCGUCGUGAAGAGGGAAACAACCCAGACCGCCAGCUAAGGUCCCAAAGUCAUGGUUAAGUGGGAAACGAUGUGGGAAGGCCCAGACAGCCAGGAUGUUGGCUUAGAAGCAGCCAUCAUUUAAAGAAAGCGUAAUAGCUCACUGGUCGAGUCGGCCUGCGCGGAAGAUGUAACGGGGCUAAACCAUGCACCGAAGCUGCGGCAGCGACACUCAGGUGUUGUUGGGUAGGGGAGCGUUCUGUAAGCCUGCGAAGGUGGCCUGUGAGGGUUGCUGGAGGUAUCAGAAGUGCGAAUGCUGACAUAAGUAACGAUAAAGCGGGUGAAAAGCCCGCUCGCCGGAAGACCAAGGGUUCCUGUCCAACGUUAAUCGGGGCAGG
RNAcentral lists this ribosomal RNA (786 nucleotides) under Salmonella enterica subsp. enterica serovar Agona. RNAcentral's name for it is "bacterial LSU rRNA". It matches the Rfam family "Bacterial large subunit ribosomal RNA", at positions 593 to 1378 of the family's 2925-position model. The record is from RNAcentral. Lineage: Bacteria; Pseudomonadati; Pseudomonadota; Gammaproteobacteria; Enterobacterales; Enterobacteriaceae.